Molecule: ribosomal RNA, 445 nt
Filed under: uncultured Microbacteriaceae bacterium
Lineage: Bacteria; Bacillati; Actinomycetota; Actinomycetes; Micrococcales; Microbacteriaceae
Description: bacterial SSU rRNA
Rfam family: Bacterial small subunit ribosomal RNA
Source: RNAcentral
CCUACGGGGGGCAGCAGUGGGGAAUAUUGCACAAUGGGCGCAAGCCUGAUGCAGCAACGCCGCGUGAGGGACGACGGCCUUCGGGUUGUAAACCUCUUUUAGCAGGGAAGAAGCGAAAGUGACGGUACCUGCAGAAAAAGCACCGGCUAACUACGUGCCAGCAGCCGCGGUAAUACGUAGGGUGCAAGCGUUAUCCGGAAUUAUUGGGCGUAAAGAGCUCGUAGGCGGUUUGUCGCGUCUGCUGUGAAAACUGGGGGCUCAACCCCCAGCCUGCAGUGGGUACGGGCAGACUAGAGUGCGGUAGGGGAGAUUGGAAUUCCUGGUGUAGCGGUGGAAUGCGCAGAUAUCAGGAGGAACACCGAUGGCGAAGGCAGAUCUCUGGGCCGUAACUGACGCUGAGGAGCGAAAGCGUGGGGAGCAAACAGGCUUAGAUACCCCGGUAGUC